RNAcentral lists this ribosomal RNA (253 nucleotides) under uncultured bacterium. RNAcentral describes it as "partial 16S ribosomal RNA". It matches the Rfam family "Bacterial small subunit ribosomal RNA", at positions 524 to 776 of the family's 1533-position model. The record is from RNAcentral.
UACGUAGGUGGCAAGCGUUGUCCGGAAUUACUGGGUGUAAAGGGCGUGUAGGCGGGAUAGCAAGUCAGAUGUGAAAUUCCGGGGCUUAACCCCGGCACUGCAUCUGAAACUGUUAUUCUUGAGUGUCGGAGAGGAAAGUGGAAUUCCCAGUGUAGCGGUGAAAUGCGUAGAGAUUGGGAGGAACACCAGUGGCGAAGGCGGCCCUCUGGACCAUUACUGACGCUCAAGUGCGAAAGCGUGGGGAGCAAACAGG